UGCUACUUGUCAAAAGAAAAUUUAGUGUUCCUUUAAUUGUGCUUGUUUUUGGUGCUUGUGAGAAAUGGGAGCGGUCUUAAAAACGAAGGAUAUUUGUGCCAACUUGGAGGAAAUCUUUCUGCACACUUUCAUUCAAGAAGCGCUCAUAAAGGCAGGCUAUAAGACGUAAGCCACCCUGGAGCUUCUAUAGACAAGGUCUGGAUAGGACCUGCUGGCGGCCUGUUAUGCCAACAUAGCCUACAAAGACUUGGGCAAGCUUCAAACGCGUCAGGCUGGGAGAUCUGAACAGAACCGCCGGUUCCUUUGAGAUUUUUCUGGAGCACAACAACCGAUGUCAGAAUGCCCUACUUGGAAGGGUCAUUCUGAAACUGAAUCAACACGACCCACGUCUCCAUAGGGAGGGUACAAAUCUCCUCAAUACAUCCUAUGAACUUGAUGAACGCCAUCCAGUAGUCUUCAGUUUCUUGCUACCUACAACUAUUUAAUUGAAGAUCACCAACUGCUGUAAAUUUGGCUCAAAUUUCCAUUGGCUUCUGCGACAUUGCGCAGCUGCAGUUGCUGUAAGGUGGCCAGAAUCACCAUGCAAGUGGGGAGUACAUCUUCGCCAGGACAUACUGCCAGAAUUCAGAGAGUUUAGCACCAGAAGGCUUCCACGAGGCCAAAGAGAAGAAAAUUCGGCGGUUAUGAAGUUGUAGUGCCCUACAAGUCCAUUAUCGCCAAAUAUCUAAGCUAUUAUGACUGCCUGAUUCCCGCUCAUAGACAACAACAAUAUUGCAGCCAGGACCUAUUCGGAAAGCUGAAACUUAGCAAAAAGUCCUCUAUCUUCGAUGUGAUCCUGCGUAGCUCGGGAAGUACGAUGAUGAUGAUGAUGACUCUAUCUAAGAAAAGUCCGAAAAGCGCGAUGAGAGGGGACUUGUCAUUAGCCAGAAAACAUCAGGAAUAUGCCUUGAACUUAAGGAUUCUCCAGCGCAGUUCCAGAAACUUUUAGGUCGCCAGUUAAAUUGGCUACCAGGCUAUUGAGCUACUACAUCGGGAAUUGAAGUCCCUGCAUAUUUCAAGACGAUGUCCCUAUCCAUUUCCCCGUCUCUGAAGUGGAUUUGGGCCAGUCCCAUUUGGGGCAGAACAUACCUUCAGGUGCGAAACUCACGGAAUCCCGAUAGUAUUUCAUGGAAUUUGUAUUCCCCACUUGCAUGGUGACUCUGGCCACCUUAUAGGAACUGCAGCUGCUUAAUGUCGAUGACCAGCUGGUGGUCCCCAGUGAAAUAGUAGUAGGUCGCAAGAAUACUUAAGCUACUUAAUGGCGUUCAUCAAGUUCAUAGACCGCAUUGAGCAGACUUACACCCUCCCUGCAGAGACGUGGGUCGCGUUGAUUAAGUUUUAGAAUGACCCUUCCAAGUAAGGGCAUUCUGACAUCGACUGUUGUGCUCCAGAGCCAUCUCAAAGGAACGGCGGCACUGUUCAGAUCACCCAUCUUGAAGCGUUGCCCCUCGAAGAUUGCUUAAGUCUUUGUAGGCCAUGUUGGCAAAACAGGCCGACAGGAGGUCCUAAGGAAGCUGCAGGGUGUUGUACAUCUUAUAACCUGCCUUUAUGAGCUAGGAACAGAAUGAAAGGCAGCUCAGGAAUGUAUUUACAUAUAUGUAAUUCCAAUUACGAAUCCUUUUAAUCCAUGAACGCACCGCUUUUUGAAUGCAAGUGUGCAGAAACAUUUCCUUUAAGCUAGGACAAAUGUCCUUCGCCGUAAAAACCGCUCUCAUUUCUACGAGCACCUAGCACUAGCAUGUUUAAAAGAACAAUGCGUUUUUUGAAAAGUAACAUUAGGGCUGCGAUGAUCCAGUUUAAGAAUGACCCCUCCACGUAGGCCAUUCUGACAUCGACUAUUGUGCUCCAGAGUCAUCUCAAGGGAACGACGCCACUGUUCAGAUCUGCCAUCCCGAGAAAACAAUGUCCUAUCACAAAGCGAACUUCAGCGGGUCCUAAUAUUAUAUUAUAAUCAGAAAUAGAGGGAAUUUUCGACGAAGAGCCCGAGCAAUUCCAGAAAGAAUACACAACCACCAACAGGAAAGUGUAGAUACAUUUCCGAACAGGGAAAUUAUGAUUGUAAUGCAAGCGAAAUCGAAUCUGCUGAAUAAUAAAGUGAACUCCAAUUAAUAAAAUAAA
Molecule: long non-coding RNA, 2157 nt
Organism: Drosophila subpulchrella
Lineage: Eukaryota; Metazoa; Arthropoda; Insecta; Diptera; Drosophilidae
Exons: 4
Source: RefSeq, a predicted model, not a curated record